Papaver somniferum (opium poppy) is the source of this 789-nucleotide long non-coding RNA. RefSeq lists it as uncharacterized. The record is from RefSeq and is a predicted model, not a curated record. NCBI's taxonomy places the organism in Eukaryota, Viridiplantae, Streptophyta, Magnoliopsida, Ranunculales, Papaveraceae. The transcript has 3 exons.
AUUUCAGUUUUUCGGUUCUCUCUCCCUCUUUCUCCAAAACUUCCCAAACCGUACAAAAAAUCCGAAACAAAAUGUAGAAAUCAAACCAAAAACUAGCUGUUGAUAGGAUUAGAGAGAUCCAGAAGAUUAAUUGAAAUAGAGAAUUCAAAAAAAAAAAAAAAAAAAAAAAAAAGAACCCAGAAAAUUAGGGUUUGUAAUCGAUGAUUGAAAAUUGAUUAUAAUCUUCAAAUUAAGGUACAAAUCAAAGAAUUAGGAAAUCACCGAAAGCAAAGGGCAAAGCAACCAAAUAUGUCGAUAAUGUUCCCUCGAAAAAAGUUGUAGCUGUUAUGAAGAUGUGUGUAUAAUGGAAGUGAGCCACGAAGAAGUUGCUGCUCAAGUAAACAAGAAAUGGAAGUGAGCCACGAAGAAGUUGCUGCUCAAGAUAGUGUUCCACAUCUUGAAUACAAUGGACGAAUGAAAGCUUCAGAAAGAAGGAAAUAUGAGUUUGGGUGAAAUCUAGAUUGUAAAUUUACGGAAGUUGUUUUCAAAAUGGAGUUUGUCUCCAAAGUUGAAAGCAAUUAGAAGAAGUUGUCUUCAAAAUGGAGGCAACUUGCUUGGAGUUGGUUCCAAUAUGGAGGCAACUGCACAAGUUGUCCCCCAAAAAUAUGGAGUCAAACCGGUAUAACUUGCCUCUGUUUGGUGUAAGCAGUAAUUUGUAUUGCAUAGCAUUACAGAAACGAAAAAAACAAAAAGAACAGAAGUAACACCUAGAAAAUAUAACACAUGAGAAAUUUGUGGCUGUCUUUGGAA